Molecule: long non-coding RNA, 211 nt
Filed under: Gossypium barbadense (sea-island cotton)
Lineage: Eukaryota; Viridiplantae; Streptophyta; Magnoliopsida; Malvales; Malvaceae
Description: long non-coding RNA (GBAR_LNC008995)
Source: RNAcentral
AAAAGGUUAUGGGUGAUGAGUAGAGGAAGGUGAUGGAGAAAUUAAAAGUAGUAGGGAAAUGAUUACAAAGAUGGGGAAUGAGAAUAAAAAAAAAUUACAGAAAGGGCUGUCUAGAAAGUUACUUGCUCGAAUUGAAGAACUGGAUAGAAUAGAGAGGUCAAAUGAGAAUUUGGAAGAAUUAAUUGAUGCCAAAAUUAAUUUAAAUAUGGAG